UGGGGAAUAUUGGACAAUGGGGGAAACCCUGAUCCAGCGACGCCGCGUGAGUGAAGAAGUAUUUCGGUAUGUAAAGCUCUAUCAGCAGGGAAGAAAAUGACGGUACCUGACUAAGAAGCCCCGGCUAACUACGUGCCAGCAGCCGCGGUAAUACGUAGGGGGCAAGCGUUAUCCGGAUUUACUGGGUGUAAAGGGAGCGCAGACGGCGAUGCAAGUCUGAAGUGAAAGGCGUGGGCUCAACCCAUGAACUGCUUUGGAAACUGUAUAGCUUGAGUGUCGGAGGGGUAAGCGGAAUUCCUAGUGUAGCGGUGAAAUGCGUAGAUAUUAGGAGGAACACCGGAGGCGAAGGCGGCUUACUGGACGACAACUGACGUUGAGGCUCGAAGGCGUGGGGAGCAAACAGGAUUAGAUACCCUGGUAGUCCACGCAGUAAACGAUGAAUACUUGGUGUCGGGGAGGUAAACUCUUCGGUGCCGCAAGCUAACGCAUUAAGUAUUCCACCUGGGGAGUACGUUCGCAAGAAUG
Molecule: ribosomal RNA, 525 nt
Filed under: uncultured bacterium
Lineage: Bacteria
Description: bacterial SSU rRNA
Rfam family: Bacterial small subunit ribosomal RNA
Source: RNAcentral